RNAcentral lists this transfer RNA (67 nucleotides) under Apocrypta bakeri. RNAcentral describes it as "tRNA-Arg". The record is from RNAcentral. Lineage: Eukaryota; Metazoa; Arthropoda; Insecta; Hymenoptera; Pteromalidae.
UAAAAUGAAACUAAUUAAUAGUAAUUAGUUUCGACCUAAUUUAAAAUAUUUAUAAUAUUCAUUUUAU